This 254-nucleotide ribosomal RNA is filed under the name uncultured bacterium. Its description in RNAcentral is "partial 16S ribosomal RNA". It matches the Rfam family "Bacterial small subunit ribosomal RNA", at positions 524 to 776 of the family's 1533-position model. The record is from RNAcentral.
UACGUAGGGUGCAAGCGUUGUCCGGAAUUAUUGGGCGUAAAGAGCUCGUAGGCGGUUUGUCGCGUCUGCUGUGAAAACUCGGGGCUCAACUCCGAGCUUGCAGUGGGUACGGGCAGACUAGAGUGCGGUAGGGGAGAGCUGGAAUUCCUGGUGUAGCGGUGGAAUGCGCAGAUAUCAGGAGGAACACCGGUGGCGAAGGCGGGUCUCUGGGCCGUAACUGACGCUGAGGAGCGAAAGCAUGGGGAGCGAACAGG